Molecule: ribosomal RNA, 464 nt
Filed under: Vreelandella stevensii
Lineage: Bacteria; Pseudomonadati; Pseudomonadota; Gammaproteobacteria; Oceanospirillales; Halomonadaceae
Description: partial 16S ribosomal RNA
Rfam family: Bacterial small subunit ribosomal RNA
Source: RNAcentral
CCUACGGGAGGCAGCAGUGGGGAAUAUUGGACAAUGGGGGAACCCUGAUCCAGCCAUGCCGCGUGUGUGAAGAAGGCCCUCGGGUUGUAAAGCACUUUCAGUGAGGAAGAACGCCUGGUGGUUAAUACCCAUCAGGAAAGACAUCACUCACAGAAGAAGCACCGGCUAACUCCGUGCCAGCAGCCGCGGUAAUACGGAGGGUGCGAGCGUUAAUCGGAAUUACUGGGCGUAAAGCGCGCGUAGGUGGCUUGAUAAGCCGGUUGUGAAAGCCCCGGGCUCAACCUGGGAACGGCAUCCGGAACUGUCAAGCUAGAGUGCAGGAGAGGAUGGUAGAAUUCCCGGUGUAGCGGUGAAAUGCGUAGAGAUCGGGAGGAAUACCAGUGGCGAAGGCGGCCUUCUGGACUGACACUGACACUGAGGUGCGAAAGCGUGGGUAGCAAACAGGAUUAGAUACCCCAGUAGUC